Small nucleolar RNA from Procambarus clarkii (red swamp crayfish), 127 nucleotides. RefSeq annotates it as small nucleolar RNA SNORD90. Lineage: Eukaryota; Metazoa; Arthropoda; Malacostraca; Decapoda; Cambaridae. The record is from RefSeq and is a predicted model, not a curated record.
AACUGUGAUUUUGACGUGUGUGAAGACACCUAGUGACACAUUCAGAGGUAGAAAAAAUAGAAGCAAAUAACUCGCUUUACUCUACCUCUGAAUGUGUCACUAGGUGUCUUCACACACGUCAAAAUGU